GACGAACGCUGGCGGCGUGCCUAAUACAUGCAAGUCGAGCGCAGAAGGUUGGUACUUGUACCUAUUGGGUGAGCCGCGAACGGGUGAGUAACGCGUGGAGAAUCUGCCUUUGAGCGGGGGACCACAUUGGGAAACGAAUGCUAAUACCGCAUAAAAUCUUUAACCACAAGGUUUAAGUUUGAAAGACGCUAUUGCAUUACUCAAUGGUGGUCUCGCGUCGUUUUAGCUAGUUGGUGAGGUUAAGGCUCACCACGGCGAGGACACAUAGCCGACCUGAGAGGGUGGGUCGCCACCUUGGGACGGAGACACGGCCCAAACGCCCUCAGGUAGCAGCAAGAGGGAAACGUCGGGAAUGGGCGAAAGUCAGAGCGAGCAACGCCGAGGGCGUGAAGAACGUUGUCGGGUCCGAAAACUCUGUUUUUAGGGAAGAACGAUGUUGAGAGUGUAAAGCUCAGCAAGUGACGGUAACUACCCAGAAAGCGACGGCUAACUACGUG
RNAcentral lists this ribosomal RNA (497 nucleotides) under uncultured bacterium. RNAcentral's name for it is "partial 16S ribosomal RNA". It matches the Rfam family "Bacterial small subunit ribosomal RNA", at positions 28 to 507 of the family's 1533-position model. The record is from RNAcentral.